Oncorhynchus keta (chum salmon) is the source of this 2121-nucleotide long non-coding RNA. RefSeq lists it as uncharacterized. Lineage: Eukaryota; Metazoa; Chordata; Actinopteri; Salmoniformes; Salmonidae. The record is from RefSeq and is a predicted model, not a curated record. The transcript is spliced from 4 exons.
CUACUGUCCUGUAGGUUUACACUCCAACCCUGUUCCUACAGAUCUACUGUCCUGUAGGUUUACACUCCAACCCUGUUCCUACAGAUCUACUGUCCUGUAGGUUUACACUCCAACCCUGUUCCUACAGUCUACUGUCCUGUAGGUUUACACUCCAACCCUGUUCCUACAGAUCAACUGUCCUAUAGGUUUACACUCCAACCCUGUUCCUACAGAUCAACUGUCCUGUAGGUUUACACUCCAACCCUGUUCCUACAGAUCAACUGUCCUGUAGGUUUACACUCCAACCCUGUUCCUACAGAUCAACGGUCCUGUAGGUUUACACUCCAACCCUGUUCCUACAGAUCAACUGUCCUGUAGGUUUACACUCCAACCCUGUUCCUACAGAUCUACUGUCCUGUAGGUUUACACUCCAACCCUGUUCCUACAGAUCAACUGUCCUGUAGGUUUACACUCCAACCCUGUUCCUACAGAUCUACUGUCCUGUAGGUUUACACUCCAACCCUGUUCCUACAGAUCAACUGUCCUGUAGGUUUACACUCCAACCCUGUUCCUACAGAUCAACGGUCCUGUAGGUUUACACUCCAACCCUGUUCCUACAGUCUACUGUCCUGUAGGUUUACACUCCAACCCUGUUCCUACAGAUCUACUGUCCUGUAGGUUUACACUCCAACCCUGUUCCUACAGAUCUACUGUCCUGUAGGUUUACACUCCAACCCUGUUCCUACAGAUCUACUGUCCUGUAGGUUUACACUCCAACCCUGUUCCUACAGAUCUACUGUCCUGUAGGUUUUCACUCCAACCUUAACGUAACAUACAGUACCUGAUUCAGCUAGUUCAGGUCUUGGUGAGAAGGUAAUUAAUAGAAUCAGGUGUGCUAGAUUAGGGUUGGACUGAAAACCAACAGGAAGGUAAAUCUCCAGGAAGAGAGUUGGACUGAACCUAAAGGAUGGUAAAUCUCCAGGAAGAGAGUUGGACUGAAAACCAACAGGAAGGUAAAUCUCCAGGAAGAGAGUUGGACUGAAAACCAACAGGAAGGUAAAUCUCCAGGAAGAGAGUUGGACUGAACCUAAAGGAUGGUAGAUCCCCCAGGAAGAGAGUUGGACUGAACCUACAGGAUGGUAGGUCCCCAGGAAGAGAGUUGGACUGAACCUACAGGAUGGUAGGUCCCCAGGAAGAGAGUUGGACUGAACCUAAAGGAUGGUAGAUCCCCAGGAAGAGAGUUGGACUGAACCUAAAGGAUGGUAGAUCCCCAGGAAGAGAGUUGGACUGAACCUAAAGGAUGGUAGAUCCCCAGGAAGAGAGUUGGACUGAACCUAAAGGAUGGUAGAUCCCCAGGAAGAGAGUUGGACUGAAAACAUACAUGAUGGUAGAUCCCCAGGAAGAGAGUUGGACUGAAAACAUACAGGAUGGUAGAUCCCCAGGAAGAGAGUUGGACUGAAAACAUACAUGAUGGUAGAUCCCCAGGAAGAGAGUUGGACUGAAAACAUACAGGAUGGUAGAUCCCCAGGAAGAGAGUUGGACUGAAAACAUACAGGAUGGUAGAUCCCCAGGAAGAGAGUUGGACUGAACCUAAAGGAUGGUAGAUCCCCAGGAAGAGAGUUGGACUGAAAACAUGCAUGAUGGUAGAUCCCCAGGAAGAGAGUUGGACUGAACCUAAAGGAUGGUAGAUCCCCAGGAAGAGAGUUGGACUGAAAACAUACAUGAUGGUAGAUCCCCAGGAAGAGAGUUGGACUGAAAACAUACAGGAUGGUAGAUCCCCAGGAAGAGAGUUGGGCAGCCCUGGUCUAAUUUCUGCCAUCAUGCUUUCACACAUCCAGUCCUAUCAGAUCUGUGAAUGAGGACAGAGGGGAGGGAACAUCUUCCUGGGCCUGUAUCCCAACUGGCACACUAUUCCCAUAAGGCUCUGGUCUAAAGAAGUGCACUAUAUAGGGAAUAGGGCUCUGGUCGAAAGAAGUGCACUAUAUAUGGAAUAGGGCUCUGGUUAAAAUAAGUGCACUAUAUAUGGAAUAGGGUGCAAUUUGGUGUAACCCCUCUACAUUAAAUGUGAAAUGAAGGGAAACUGAAAGAAAGCGUAUGCAUGUAUUCCUAGGUAAAGAACAACAAUACAUUGAAUGUGUAAGA